This 797-nucleotide ribosomal RNA is filed under the name uncultured bacterium. RNAcentral's name for it is "bacterial SSU rRNA". It matches the Rfam family "Bacterial small subunit ribosomal RNA", at positions 28 to 872 of the family's 1533-position model. The record is from RNAcentral.
AACGUACGCUGGCGGCACGCCUAACACAUGCAAGUCGAACGAAGUAGCAAUACUUAGUGGCAAACGGGUGAGUAACAUGUGGGUAUCUGCCCUUCGGCCUGGAAUAACACGGGGAAACUUGUGCUAAUACCAGAUAAGUCUUUUAAGAGAAAGCUUUAUGCACCGAUGGAUGAGCCCGCACCUGAUUAGUUAGUUGGUGAGGUAAUAGCUCACCAAGACAAUGAUCAGUAGCUGGUUUGAGAGGAUGAUCAGCCACAUUGGGACUGAGACACGGCCCAAACUCCUACGGGAGGCAGCAGUGGGGAAUCUUGCACAAUGGGGGAAACCCUGAUGCAGCGAUGCCGCGUGAGUGAAGAAGGCCUUUGGGUUGUAAAGCUCUUUCGUCGGGGAAGAAAAUGACUGUACCCGAAUAAGAAGGUCCGGCUAACUUCGUGCCAGCAGCCGCGGUAAUACGAAGGGACCUAGCGUAGUUCGGAAUUACUGGGCUUAAAGAGUUUGUAGGUGGUUAAAAUAGUUGGUGGUGAAAUCCCAGAGCUUAACUCUGGAACUGCCAUCAAAACUUUUUAGCUAGAGUAUGAUAGAGGAAAGUAGAAUUUCUAGUGUAGAGGUGAAAUUCGUAGAUAUUAGAAAGAAUACCAAUUGCGAAGGCAGCUUUCUGGGUCAUUACUGACACUGAGGAACGAAAGCAUGGGUAGCGAAGAGGAUUAGAUACCCUCGUAGUCCAUGCCGUAAACGAUGUGUGCUAGACGUUGGAAAUUUUAUUUUCAGUGUCGCAGCUAAAGCGAUAAGCACACCGC